This 430-nucleotide ribosomal RNA is filed under the name uncultured bacterium. RNAcentral describes it as "bacterial SSU rRNA". It matches the Rfam family "Bacterial small subunit ribosomal RNA", at positions 354 to 796 of the family's 1533-position model. The record is from RNAcentral.
GUGGGGAAUAUUGCGCAAUGGGCGAAAGCCUGACGCAGCGACGCCGCGUGAGCGAAGAAGGCCUUCGGGUUGUAAAGCUCUGUCAGGGGGGACGAAGGGAGACUGACGGUACCCCCAGAGGAAGCCCCGGCCAACUACGUGCCAGCAGCCGCGGUAAUACGUAGGGGGCGAGCGUUGUCCGGAAUCAUUGGGCGUAAAGAGCACGUAGGCGGCCUGUCAGGUCGGAUGUGAAAACCCGCGGCUCAACUGCGGGAUUGCAUUCGAAACCGGCAGGCUAGAGUCCAGUAGAGGAAAGUGGAAUUCCCAGUGUAGCGGUGAAAUGCGCAGAUAUUGGGAAGAACACCGGCGGCGAAGGCGGCUUUCUGGGCUGUGACUGACGCUGAGGUGCGAAAGCUAGGGGAGCGAACAGGAUUAGAAACCCCAGUAGUCC